Molecule: ribosomal RNA, 905 nt
Filed under: Microbacterium aurantiacum
Lineage: Bacteria; Bacillati; Actinomycetota; Actinomycetes; Micrococcales; Microbacteriaceae
Description: bacterial SSU rRNA
Rfam family: Bacterial small subunit ribosomal RNA
Source: RNAcentral
UGGCGGCGUGCUUAACACAUGCAAGUCGAACGGUGAAGCCAAGCUUGCUUGGUGGAUCAGUGGCGAACGGGUGAGUAACACGUGAGCAACCUGCCCUGAACUCUGGGAUAAGCGCUGGAAACGGCGUCUAAUACUGGAUAUGAGCUGCGGAGGCAUCUUCGUGGUUGGAAAGAUUUUUCGGUUUGGGAUGGGCUCGCGGCCUAUCAGCUUGUUGGUGAGGUAAUGGCUCACCAAGGCGUCGACGGGUAGCCGGCCUGAGAGGGUGACCGGCCACACUGGGACUGAGACACGGCCCAGACUCCUACGGGAGGCAGCAGUGGGGAAUAUUGCACAAUGGGCGGAAGCCUGAUGCAGCAACGCCGCGUGAGGGAUGACGGCCUUCGGGUUGUAAACCUCUUUUAGCAGGGAAGAAGCGAAAGUGACGGUACCUGCAGAAAAAGCGCCGGCUAACUACGUGCCAGCAGCCGCGGUAAUACGUAGGGCGCAAGCGUUAUCCGGAAUUAUUGGGCGUAAAGAGCUCGUAGGCGGUUUGUCGCGUCUGCUGUGAAAUCUGGGGGCUCAACCCCCAGCCUGCAGUGGGUACGGGCAGACUAGAGUGCGGUAGGGGAGAUUGGAAUUCCUGGUGUAGCGGUGGAAUGCGCAGAUAUCAGGAGGAACACCGAUGGCGAAGGCAGAUCUCUGGGCCGUAACUGACGCUGAGGAGCGAAAGGGUGGGGAGCAAACAGGCUUAGAUACCCUGGUAGUCCACCCCGUAAACGUUGGGAACUAGUUGUGGGGUCCAUUCCACGGAUUCCGUGACGCAGCUAACGCAUUAAGUUCCCCGCCUGGGGAGUACGGCCGCAAGGCUAAAACUCAAAGGAAUUGACGGGGACCCGCACAAGCGGCGGAGCAUGCGGAUUAAUUCG